AUCUGGUUGAUCCUGCCAGUUAUUUUUAUGUGGUUGAUCCUGCCAGUAGUCAUACUCUCGUCUCAAAGAUUAAGCCAGGCAUGUGUAAGUAUAAAUUUUUUACUUUGAAAGUGCGAAUGGCUCAUUAUAUCAGUUAUAGUUUAUUAGAUGAAAAGUACUGCUUGGAUACCGGUAGUAAUUGUAGAGUUAAUACAUGAUCAAUUCCUCGUCUUUGAAGAGGUGUUUUUAUUAGAAUGAAACCCAAUAGUCUCUGUCUAUUGGGGAGUAAUAAUACCUUGUCAUAUCGCAUUUUUAUGUAGAGAUGUUUUUUUAAGUUUCUGCCCUAUCAUCUUUCCAUGGUAGUGGAUUGGACUACCAUGGCAGUAACGGGGAACGAAGAAUUUGGGGUCGAUUUCUGAGAAGGAGCCUGAUAAAAGGCUACCACAUCCAAGGAAGGCAGCAGGCGCGUAAAUUACCCCAUCCUGACACAGGGAGGGAGUGACAAUAAAUCACAAUGCGGAACAUCUGUUUUGCAAUUGGAUUGAGAACAACGCACAACACUUAUCUAUAAACAAUUGGAGGGGAAGUCUGGUGCCACCACCCCCGGCAAUUCCACCUCCCCUAGCGUAUAUUAACGUUGUUGCAGUUAAAAAAAAUCACCUCAGAGCUUUUUAACUGCAACAACG
RNAcentral lists this ribosomal RNA (665 nucleotides) under Blastocystis sp. Its description in RNAcentral is "partial small subunit ribosomal RNA". It matches the Rfam family "Eukaryotic small subunit ribosomal RNA", at positions 1 to 663 of the family's 1831-position model. Lineage: Eukaryota; Bigyra; Opalinata; Blastocystidae. The record is from RNAcentral.